GACGUAGGGAGCGAGCGUUGUCCGGAUUCAUUGGGCGUAAAGCGCGCGUGGGCGGUUUGGUAAGUCGGAUGUGAAAUCCCGAGGCUCAACCUCGGGACUGCAUCCGAUACUGCCCGACUAGAGGUAGGUAGGGGAGAUCGGAAUUCCUGGUGUAGCGGUGAAAUGCGCAGAUAUUGGGAAGAACACCAGUGGCGAAGGCGGCUAACUGGUCCAGAUCUGACGCUGAGGUGCGAAAGCGUGGGGAGCAAACAGG
RNAcentral lists this ribosomal RNA (253 nucleotides) under uncultured bacterium. RNAcentral describes it as "partial 16S ribosomal RNA". It matches the Rfam family "Bacterial small subunit ribosomal RNA", at positions 524 to 776 of the family's 1533-position model. The record is from RNAcentral.